GAGCUCAUUCGUGAUGUUCUGUAGAGCUCCACAAGUGAGCUGUUAGAAAGUUUUGCUCUCAAUUUCCCCCUGUGCUCACCUCUUAACUGUUGCAGGACCUGAGCCAUGUUCCCUUCCUCUGCCACAGCACAAAGCCAGGUACCUGCUGGCCUUUGGGGAGCAGCACAUUUCAGCAUCUCUCCUCCUCUACACACUCAUCCCUCUUUGCUGUGCUGAAUCUGCAUGCUCUGCAGAGGAAGAGUGUGAAGAGAAGGCAGUCCAGCAUAAAGCAUGGCUAUCUUCCUAGCAGGAGAACUGGGACUGCACUUUCUGGGGAUGGCCCCCAUGCACUGAGCCUGCUUUGUAGCCAGGAGCGCUGGCACAUCAUCUGAUAUCUCCCACAUGUCUGAUGGCCCUGAGCAGGGUGAGCGUGGGUGUCACAGCACCUCUCCGAAAAAUCAGAGUCCUGGGCCAGCCAGGUAAGGCCACUGUGCUUCUGCAAGCUGAGCAGGGGAAGGCCACAAGCACAGUUCGGUGAUGGUGCUGUCCCUGUGUACAUGAUGGACAUAUGCAACUGGCACACAGGGCUGUGAUGUACUUCUGCAUAGGUUUUGGAAAGCUGAGGACCAGCAGGGAUGUGGAGGCUGGUUCUCCCUGAUACUCUACUGCAUAACGUUAGCUGGCAAUGGAGCGAUCCUUUAGAGGAAGACAGGUUUCUCAGAGCCCCAACAAGCAGUGCGGCUGCAUGGCUGCCAGCUCCACCAGUGAAACCGGGUGCUAGUUCCAUCCUGCCUCUGGGGCUCUGCUGAGGUUGUCCGCCAGCACAUCGACUCUUCUGAAUCCAGCGGAGCGGCACUGACUGCAGCACAGCGUGGGAAAGCCUCACAGCUUGGCGAUGUCUGUGAGCUUGCUGAAGAGUCUGACAACGGCCAUUCACUGGAAUAUAUUCAAAGCAAUGGGGAUGUCUAAAGCUUUAACUCCUAAUCCGAUGGGGAAAAAAUCGGUUUGGCACAAAAUUUACUUGUUACGUGAACUGGUGGGUUUUAACAGUCUCUAGAGUCUACGUCUCAAGUCAGGAAUUUAUUUCCUCUGUUUUCUCACUGAAUUGUUUAAUGUUGGUUGGUAAUACGGACAAAAUUUGUUGUUUUUUUUUUAAUACAAAUGCCAUUAAAUGAGCUGUCUGUGCAUUGGAAAUGGACCUGCUGUUUCCAGGGGAUUAAGACAUUUCUACCUUCUCUUUUAUUCUGGUGCUCAGCAUUCAUUACAUAGCAGUCACUGGUCUCUGAAAACAAUUCAGAUUUUUAUUUGAUCUGUUGUAGUUAAUAGAAGAUUUAUUCACAGUGUUUGGGAUUUUGUAUGGUAGAUGCUAACUUUGAUGCUAACUUCCAUGCUGCCUGGGGAUUCCCAACCUUUGGGAUUUUUGGCUGGCGCUGUUUUGUACAGUCUGUAAGCAUCAUGCAAAUAGCCAAACUACCAAGCAAGGGGAAAAAAAUCAAGGAAAUAUAAACUGUUCUUUACAAGUACUGUAUUAUUCUUACACUAGAAAAAAUAAACUCUUAACAUAAAUUUUACUGACACUGUCUUCACCAUUUCAGCUGUUCUUUUUGUGAACAGAGAAGACUCUGCGGUGUUCCUCAUGCCUAGAAUUUGAUCUGCUCUGUGAAGGCUUGUGAUCCUGCUGAGAUUGUCUUCUGCAUCAUUAUAGCAUGUUCUCAACUGGCCUAAAUCACAUGUAGCCUUAAGUAGCACCAGGUCUGCUCCAUAUUGCUCCUGCCAGGAUUCCUCCUUCCCUUCUACUGUGUUGCGGGAUGUGAAAGGCAGAGCAGAAAUACCCGCAGCACUCAAGACUUACACAGGCUGGCAUGGGGAGAAGUGAGAAGUGGAUGGCAGUGCCACAAGCCCAAGUGCUGCUGGUGGGCAGAGCUUGGUGCUGGCCCUGCAGAGCUCAGUGAGGAGUGCUCCUCUGGGCCUCAUGUUUCUACCCACCUUGUUGUCACAGAUGGGUCUGGGUCUGAAACGUGCAGCAGAGGACGUCACCCAGCCACUGCUUCAUUGUCAGGGCUCGUCUGUGCCUGCAUGACCCACAUACCUCUGGGUCAUCUCGAGACCUAUCAGGCAGAUCGAGUUAUUCAAGACAUAAAGAAAUGGCAAAAUAGCAGAGUGUAGUGAAGGUAAAUGGAAAGGCAGUGGAAAAGCCUGGCAAACGCAGUAGAAGUUUUUGUGCUUUUUUUUUCUAAAGAAGGCAAGCGUAAUCCUCAUCUUUAAGCCAUCCUUUAAUAUCCUACUUCGUUUUACACUGGAAUUAGAAAAUCUUUUCCAUUUGUUUUAAUUAUCUGCUGACUUUAAUUCUGCCUUUGAAAAACGUUUUUGCUAUGACAACCCCAGCUAUCGUGGUGAGUAGCGUUAGGGAAAAACAGCUGAAGUAAAGCUUUUAUCUUUCCCCGCAUGCAGCGUUUAAUCUUUCUAAUCUUUUAAUGUGAAUGUGUUUUCUCCCAUCCUGAAAAUUGACAAGAUUAGGACUCUCUCUCACAAAAUAGCAGUUCAAAAGCACGUUUUGCUUAAACAUAGCUAGCGCAGUACAUAAUCAACUAGCAAAGUGUGAGAAUUCCUGCAAGUGACCAAUUGAUUCUCAGAGUUGAACCUGUGUCUAAGGCUAACUUCCACAUGCCGACUUUUCUAGCUCUGCCUAAACUCAACUUUUUUAAGAACAGUUUUUAAAAAAUGUAGAUUUUAAUUCCUUUGUUUUAUAUAAAAAGGCUGUUAAAAGAUCCACUGUUUUGCCAAACAAUUAUAUUUCUAUGCAUUGUGUCAUUCGGUGGUGUUGCUGUUGAGAUUUUGCAUGUUUUCUGGACGUUCUGACAUCCGUACAUUUAUGUGCUACUUGUAGAAAUGCUAACCAUUGCUGCUGUGAUCACCACCGCUGAAAAACUGAGAGCUGUACUAAGAAGCUGUGCCAGUCAGCAGGUAUUUCUGUGUGUGUCACAGUAAAUCUCUGCGUUAGGAUGUUGUUUCCUGUGUUAAGCCAGUGCUCAGUGCCUUCUGGAGGAGGAACCAACAUGUUGCAGUAGGCUGGAGGUGCUGAACGUCUCGUGUCUUCUUUGGAACAGCUGAUCACUUAUCAGCUUGAUGCUUUAAAAAAAAAGUAUUAAAAAGCCACUUGAAUUCUCCAUCUUCCUUUGAGGCUUCUUCUCAUCAAUUCUAAUUUGGAAUAAAAAAAAUAAAGAUGCCCAACCAACGGCCUUGAUGAAGCUAAAGGCUCCUGCAGCCAUCUGCCAGCUGUGAAUGUGGGGGGCAAGGGGAGAUGUGCAGCACCCAAACGUUCCUGUGUGUAGCAGAUCCGGCGAUCAGCCAAGCCUGUGAGAGCUGUUGUGGAGCUCGCUAAAAAAUGCCUGCUAAUGAAAACAAUCCUCUAAUUACUGUAAGAAACUGCCAGCUCUCCUAGCAGCUGUGAGCCUGCUCCUGUAAACAAGUGUCAGCCUGGUCAAGUGGCGGAUUCCAGUCCCUUUCCCACCUCUGUUGGAGCCACACUUUGCUGCCAAAUGAGCCUUGGAUGAAAUUCAAGCCCAAGAUUUUUGGCCUCAUUCUUUCCAAUUGCUUUCAUGGCAGACGGGCUCUGUUUAUCAAAAUUCUGACACUGCAUUUUCAGCUCCUUCUCCACCUUCCCCUUAGAAUCUGGCAGUAUAGCAGAUACGCGCAUACACAGAAUAAAUUCUGACUUCACUGAGGUUUUGACAGGCUGAAAUCAUACCAUAUUGUAUUUGUACAACAGAAACAAGCUGUGGGGAAAGGCGUGAUCUGUCACAGAUCCCUGCCGCCAGGCACGGUCAGCUGCACCUGGUAUGCUCUGGAAGUACUGUCAUGUGGAAGCAAUGAAAGGCUGUAGCCAUCAGUUCUGCAUCUCUGCUGACAGGUCAAAGCCUUCUAAAUAUCUUGAAAAGUUUUUCAAAUCAGA
Long non-coding RNA from Gallus gallus (chicken), 3931 nucleotides. NCBI's taxonomy places the organism in Eukaryota, Metazoa, Chordata, Aves, Galliformes, Phasianidae. The record is from Ensembl.